This 801-nucleotide long non-coding RNA is filed under the name Gouania willdenowi (blunt-snouted clingfish). Its description in RNAcentral is "lncRNA (ENSGWIG00000023206.1)". The record is from RNAcentral. Lineage: Eukaryota; Metazoa; Chordata; Actinopteri; Blenniiformes; Gobiesocidae.
GUUUGGCUCUGCUGGUUUCUCUGAUUGGAGGAUUGAUGCAGCGCCUCCGACGAAUCAUCUGUGCUGCUUUCUAUCCAGAGAGAGAACUGGAGAGGAUCCUCUUCCUCCGCCAGAAGAUCCUGGAUGAGAGGAGGGCAGAGCGUGAAUCCAUGUGGAAGUUACCUGGAGUUACUCACCUGUCGUCCUGUUUCUCUGCGGACUGUGCAGGAAUUCCCUGCAGCCCGUGUUUCCCCUGUGUGCGACCUUCGACCUCUCAGAAGAACAACGAGGCUCAGCCAGAGGCUGACAGUGAAGCUUUGGAGAUGGUUCCCAUGGCAACACAGAGACAGUCAGCUGGAUCAUCAGAGGGUGAGCGUGAUAACGAGGACAGCGUUGGUUCAGACUCCGAGUUCAGUGACCUAGACAUGUCGUACCAGUACCGAGAAGAGUCCGACGAGUCUGACAGCGACCACUCCGGCAUCAGCGUCUAGAACAGAUGGAACAGAGCAUCUCCAGGAACUCACAGCAGGGAGCCUGAGGCGUCACACCUUCUUAGCUUCAGAUUCCCUAUCAAGUUUUAUUCUUUGUAUAGUAAAAACUAUAUUAUUUUAUAUUCAUAUUAUUUAGCUGGUAUUGUCCCACCCCAUCUCAAAGAUAUCAACUGAUUGGACUGAAUUAAUUGGAAGUCUAAUUUUAGGUUGAUAUUUUAUUCUAGUUUAAGUAAUUUUAGUCUUAAUGUAAGGUCAACAUUUUAGUCACAUUGUUGUAGAGAUUAGAAAUCUAAUUGUAGGCCUAUGGAUGAUACCAAGAGAUAUAUUUCCC